RNAcentral lists this ribosomal RNA (464 nucleotides) under uncultured Thermus sp. RNAcentral describes it as "bacterial SSU rRNA". It matches the Rfam family "Bacterial small subunit ribosomal RNA", at positions 919 to 1382 of the family's 1533-position model. The record is from RNAcentral. Lineage: Bacteria; Thermotogati; Deinococcota; Deinococci; Thermales; Thermaceae.
ACCCGCACAAGCAGCGGAGCAUGUGGUUAAUUCGAAGCAACGCGAAGAACCUUACCAGGGCUUGACAUGCCGCUGACCGGUUUAGAGAUAGAUCUUUACCCUUCGGGUACAGCGGACACAGGUGCUGCAUGGCCGUCGUCAGCUCGUGCCGUGAGGUGUUGGGUUAAGUCCCGCAACGAGCGCAACCCCGCCGUUAGUUGCCAGCGGUUCGGCCGGGCACUCUAACGGGACUGCCCGCGAAAGCGGGAGGAAGGAGGGGACGACGUCUGGUCAGCAUGGCCCUUACGGCCUGGGCGACACACGUGCUACAAUGCCCACUACAAAGCGAUGCCACCCGGCAACGGGGAGCUAAUCGCAAAAAGGUGGGCCCAGUUCGGAUUGGGGUCUGCAACCCGACCCCAUGAAGCCGGAAUCGCUAGUAAUCGCGGAUCAGCCAUGCCGCGGUGAAUACGUUCCCGGGCCUU